Molecule: long non-coding RNA, 391 nt
Filed under: Brassica napus (rape)
Lineage: Eukaryota; Viridiplantae; Streptophyta; Magnoliopsida; Brassicales; Brassicaceae
Description: long non-coding RNA (BNAP_LNC021723)
Source: RNAcentral
UAUACCUGGUAUCCGAUUGAGUACUCACAUUAAACCGAAGCUUUAAAUGGCGUUGUGUGUGUUUUCCAUCAUAUUAUUUAGGCAUGGGCAUUCGGGGUCCCAAUUGGGUUUCGGUUUUAUCCAUUCGGGUUUUGGUUUUUCGGGUUUAUCAAAAUCAACCCCAUUCGGGUUAUAUAAAAGUUCGGUUCGGGACCGGUUCGGGUUCGGAUCGGGGUUAGUAAAUCUUCAAAAAACUGGUAUAACCCAUUGUACUUUCGGGUUCGGGUCCCAAUCGGUUCUUCGGUUUAAAAAUACCUGAUUUGAACCUAUUUUGUAACUAAAACAUAAAUGAAAUCGGUUCUUUGGAUUUAAAAUACAUGAUUUGUACAUAUUUUAAUAGCCAAAACAUAAC